Molecule: long non-coding RNA, 208 nt
Filed under: Gossypium barbadense (sea-island cotton)
Lineage: Eukaryota; Viridiplantae; Streptophyta; Magnoliopsida; Malvales; Malvaceae
Description: long non-coding RNA (GBAR_LNC010543)
Source: RNAcentral
GCAUGCAUGGCUCGAGCAGCUUCUUGACACUUUGGCUUUUUCACAUCCUGCAUGCAGGCCAACUUCAACACAAACAUUGAACAAACUCAUUUUAGCUCUCUUAGCUAAAUCACAAGCUGCCCAUUCAGUUUCUUAUAUGGCUAAUUAGCUCCCAUUCAUGCCAAUUAAUUCCAACUGCAUGUAGACACCUUAGAAGCUGUCCAAUGGC